Molecule: ribosomal RNA, 370 nt
Filed under: Xenogryllus sp. TR-2005
Lineage: Eukaryota; Metazoa; Arthropoda; Insecta; Orthoptera; Gryllidae
Description: partial 12S ribosomal RNA
Source: RNAcentral
UUCAAUGUAUUUAGUGAGAACUKAGGGUAGUGAUAGUUGGUUCUUGAUACCCAAAGAAUUUGGCGGUGUUUUAGUCUUUUCAGGGGAAUCUGUCUCGUAAUUGAUGAUACACCAAUGGAUGUACUUAAWUGUGUGUCAUCAUCGCCUGUACCGCKCUSGUUUAUGAKAUKAUAUAGAAAGGAACAUWCUUGAUUUUAUAUUAAAUAUUAUGUCAGGUCAAGGUGCAGCUUAUGAUUAAGUGUAUGAUGGAUUACAAUAAUUGUAAUUAUAAUGAAUAAUUAUUUUAGAGUUAAUUUAAAGGUGGACUUGAUUGUGAAAUUGAAUUUAAAUUGGUGGGUGAAUUGAGCUCUAAAAAGUGCACAUAUCGCCC